CCAGACUCCUACGGGAGGCAGCAGUGAGGAAUAUUGGUCAAUGGCCGAGAGGCUGAACCAGCCAAGUCGCGUGAGGGAAGACGGCCCUACGGGUUGUAAACCUCUUUUGUCGGGGAGCAAAGCGAGUCACGUGUGACUCAUUGAGAGUACCCGAAGAAAAAGCAUCGGCUAACUCCGUGCCAGCAGCCGCGGUAAUACGGAGGAUGCGAGCGUUAUCCGGAUUUAUUGGGUUUAAAGGGUGCGCAGGCGGAAUGUCAAGUCAGCGGUAAAAUUUCGGGGCUCAACCCCGUCGUGCCGUUGAAACUGGGGGCCUUGAGUGGGCGAGAAGAAGGCGGAAUGCGUGGUGUAGCGGUGAAAUGCCUAGAUAUCACGAAGAACCCCGAUUGCGAAGGCAGCUUACUAAACUGUGACUGACAUUGAUGCUCGAAAGUGUGGGUAUCAAACAGGAUUAGAUACCCCAGUA
Molecule: ribosomal RNA, 463 nt
Filed under: uncultured bacterium
Lineage: Bacteria
Description: bacterial SSU rRNA
Rfam family: Bacterial small subunit ribosomal RNA
Source: RNAcentral